Molecule: long non-coding RNA, 408 nt
Filed under: Physcomitrium patens
Lineage: Eukaryota; Viridiplantae; Streptophyta; Bryopsida; Funariales; Funariaceae
Description: long non-coding RNA (PPAT_LNC005918)
Source: RNAcentral
AACCAUUGCCAAGGAUUGUUGAAGAAUUUAAAGAUUUUGGAGAAGUACUACUAAAAAGUGGGUUUAUGGAGGUACAAAAGAGGAGGUACUCUUGUGAGAUGAAGGUGCCUUUGAUUCGAGUUUUAUUGAUAUUUUUGAGAAUGAAAAUAUUAUGUAUAAGAAAGUUGAUGAUUUUAAAAGAAAAGAAAGAAAAAGAUUAUAUAGUAUUGAAAGGGAAUUACGCAAGUGAGGGACAUUAGAAGACGAUGAUAAGAUUUUAGGUAUUUAUGAAGAAAAUGGAUUGAAGGAUUUUUUAGAAUUAAUUGCAUCUAUUGGAUUAGGGGAUAAUGAUAAGAUUGUGAAAAUUCAUUCAAGGGAGGCUUAUUCUAUAUUUGAAUAUUUUCAAGCACCAGAAGUUAUUAUAGAGAU